GAUGAACGCUGGCGGCGUGCCUAAUACGUGCAAGUCGAGCGAACCACUUCGGUGGUGAGCGGCGAACGGGUGAGUAACACGUAGGUGAUCUGCCCAUCAGACGGGGACAACGAUUGGAAACGAUCGCUAAUACCGGAUAGGACGAAAGUUUAAAGGUGCUUCUGGCACCGCUGAUGGAUGAGCCUGCGGCGCAUUAGCUAGUUGGUAGGGUAAAGGCCUACCAAGGCGACGAUGCGUAGCCGACCUGAGAGGGUGAACGGCCACACUGGGACUGAGACACGGCCCAGACUCCUACGGGAGGUAGCAGUAGGGAAUCCUCGGCAAUGGGCGAAAGCCUGACCGAGCAACGCCGCGUGAACGAUGAAGGCCUUCGGGUCGUAAAGUUCUGUUGUAAGGGAAGAACAAGUGCCGCAGGCAAUGGCGGCACCUUGACGGUACCUUGCGAGAAAGCCACGGCUAACUACGUGCCAGCAGCCGCCGUAA
RNAcentral lists this ribosomal RNA (483 nucleotides) under uncultured bacterium. Its description in RNAcentral is "partial 16S ribosomal RNA". It matches the Rfam family "Bacterial small subunit ribosomal RNA", at positions 28 to 523 of the family's 1533-position model. The record is from RNAcentral.